GCAAGUCGAACGAGAAAGAGUCCUUCGGGACUUGAGUAAAGUGGCGCAAGGGUGAUUAACACGUGAAUAAUCUGCCUCAAAACCUGGGAUAACUCGGCGAAAGUUGGGCUAAUACUGGAUAAGACCACGUUUCACAAGAAAUGCGGUAAAAGGAGCCUCAAGCUUCAUUUUGAGAUGAGUUCGCGUACCAUUAGCUAGUUGGCGGGAUAACAGCCCACCAAGGCUACGAUGGUUAGCCGGCCUGAGAGGGUGAGC
This 255-nucleotide ribosomal RNA is filed under the name uncultured bacterium. RNAcentral describes it as "partial 16S ribosomal RNA". It matches the Rfam family "Bacterial small subunit ribosomal RNA", at positions 57 to 305 of the family's 1533-position model. The record is from RNAcentral.